Long non-coding RNA from Cyprinus carpio carpio, 3215 nucleotides. NCBI's taxonomy places the organism in Eukaryota, Metazoa, Chordata, Actinopteri, Cypriniformes, Cyprinidae. The record is from Ensembl.
UUUUGAAAUGGUGAGUUAGGAAAUCUUUACUAGGUCUGGGGUGGAUUUCUUAAAAGUGGUUUCCUGAUCGUGUCACGUGACUUCCUUGUGUGUUAUAUUCCUUCUUUUGUAGCAGAAAUAAACUUUUUCCAUUUCAUUUUGAGUGCAUAAUCAUUAGAUUUCGUUAAAAGACUCUACUCAAGGAUCAAAGUUCAGCCCUCAAAAGCUAAUGAUUUUUUUUCAUUUGAAAUCUUUCCAAGUCUUUGCCAUUGCACACUCUAAAAAAUGCUGGGUUGUUUCAACCCAACUUUGGGUCAAAUAUGGACUAACCCAGCAAUUUUUAACCCAAAAGUUGAGGUUUGGAACAUUGCCAGUUUACAUCGGCAUUCCCUAUAUAUUUAUUAUAUAUAUUUAUCCAUAUAUUUUACCAGAUACAGGUCAGCAUAAGUAUGGUGUUUCACAUAAAUCCGUUGCGCUGAAUGAUUAUUUCACCCAUAUUUUGACAUUUUAUUUGAAAGAUUAAAGCAGACACUUUACUUGUAUUUACUUGUAUUACUUGUAUUUCACAAUUAGUUACUGUCCUCGAGUAUCUUUUUGUAGUUUAACUGAGUAUCAAAUGUAUUAGCAAAUUUUACUCUCUACUUCACUACAUUUUUUUAAUCAAGAUAUGUACUCUUUACUCCAGUACCUUUGUAAAGAUUCAUGCAAUUACUCGUUACAUUCUGCAUGGCACCAGGCUUUUCUGCAGCAGUUUAUUUCUGCUACAAAAGACGGAAUAUUACACAGAGGAAGUCACGUGACACGAUCAGGAAACCACUUUUAAGAAAUCCACCCCAGACCUCGUAAAGAUUUCCUAACUCACCAUUUCAAAAGAUUAAAAACUGGUCAAAAGUUAGUGUUAAUCUACAGUGUUCGGCCAAAACAAUGGUUUAACCAACCAUACGUUUAUAAACACAACUCAAGCUGAAGGAAGUGAUGUAACAGAACUCUAACACACUGAAAAACACACUCUCAAUCAGCAGAAAAACAGAAAAAGUGUAUAUAUAUAUACAUAUAUAUAUAUAUAUAUAUAUAUAUAUAUAUAUAUAUAUAUAUAUAUAUAUAUAUAUAUAUAUAUAUAUAUAUAUAUAUAUAUAUCCCUCCACAUGACUGUACAAUAUGCAUGCAAAUAAACCUUGACAUACUUAUAUAUCCAACUUAAAUAUCCAUAUAAAGAUCUGGCCUAUAACUUACAUGAAUAUUAUAUUAUAACUUACAUGAAUAUUACAAUUUUAAUUACAAUAUACUGUAUGUAUGCAGACAAAAAUUGUACAAACUUAUAAAACCAAUUUUAUAUACAUCUAUACAUACUCUUAGUAUGAUAUACAGAGCUUUUCACUGAACAAAUUUUCACUGAAAGCAACAAAGAUUCAACUGAUCUGAGUGCAUUUCCAUUUAUGCUUUUAGCAGACGUGUUUACAUAGAUUUACUGUAAAUUCAAGCUAUGAAGUUUUUAUUUGAGAAUUGAACUCUUGACUAGUUUAGCUGGUAGAAACGAAUAGGUUACAAUUUACUAUCAACCAACACUACAGGACUUAUGUGUGCAAACCUUUAGACAUUUAUCAGGCCUUUCCCAGGUCUUUCCCCGAACUCGAGGAAUGAAAUUUAAGACAUUAUUAAUGCAAUAUUUAUCUGUAAACAGAAGGUUUUUGUAAACCAGGGUCAUUAAUUAACUGAUUUUGUACAUUCGUGAGGGCAGUUUUUAUCACCACCUUAAUAAUUGUAUCUGUGUUGUCUUUAAUGUCAAAUACUUGAAUUUAACAAAUUACUUCAAUUAAUCAAAAUACUUUAAACUGUUGCCAGUAACAACUGACUGUUUGAAAUCAUAUCUUAAUUAUACAUUUAAAAACAGGAGCCAAUAUGGCUGCAAUAUUAUGACAACAUUCGUUAUUGUCGAUUAUUGCCUCUUGAUAUUGUAAUAAUGAUUAUUAAUACGGAUUAAUGGAAUACAUAUAAAAAUCGCUUCAUCUGGAAAGCAUCCGCUGUGUACAAACAUCUGAUAGACGUCUUUAAGAUGUCAGUUUACAUUCAUUCUAAAUCAUAAACAUCUUAAAGACAUCUUCUAAAUGUCUAUUUGACAUCUGGUAGGAAAUGUCCUAUAGAUGUAUUGCAGAUGAACAAACACUAAAAAAAAAUACGUCUUGCAGAUGUAAUGCAGAGGUCAGAUAGAGUCUCUUUGUGCAAUCAGGGACAUGCAUUCUAAAUCAUAAACAUCUUAAAGACAUCUUAUUAACAUGUAUUUGACAUCUGAUAGGAAACUUCCUAUAGACAUUUUGCAGAUGAACAAACACUCUAAAAAAUACGUCUUGCAGAUGUAAUGCAGACGUCAAAUAGACGUCUCUGUGACGUACGUGUGCUAUCAGGGUGUGUUUUCAUGACUUUUGAGCACUUGUGCACAUCAAUCACCUCCUCGAGAUUCAUGAUUAAAAGCUAACUUUCAAGGUUUUUCUUGCCAUCGUAUAGUCGCAGUUGCAAAUCGAGAAGCGCUAAAAACUGAAUUGCACAGAAGUUCAAGGGGAAAUAAUGUGCGAUUGGUUUCCUCUUUUUUCCAUUGUUUUGUUUACUCAUCUGACAGUUCAGCCCAGACAUGUACGUUAAAGCUCACGCUAUACAACCCGUAACACCACAUAUCAACACACAGUACCAUUGUUAACAUGUCAAGCUAAAUAAUUUACAAACGCAAAGAGAUAUGUGCUUUAUAUAACCUAUAAAACUCCCAAAGCCAAACAUAAGUGAAAAUAAGCAUCCGGUUUCUCAGGGAAAGUGCGAUCCUACACGAGUUUUGCUGUGAAACUAGUGUCUCUGUACCUGCGAGUAAACACACUCCUCCUGAAGCUGCUGCUGUGGAGCGUUUGAGUGGUUCGGAGUGAAUGUCACCUCGCCGUACUGAACCUCCUCCUCCUUCUUCUUCUUCUUCCUCUUUGUCUGCGUUCGGACCUCGGAGUAUUCCACAUCAGCAGCCAGGAAAGAUUCUGUGGCGAGAGAGGAGAAAUGAGGACAAGAGAGAAUAUAUAACCAGCAGUGAAAUGACUGGUUUGACUAACUGACAAACAAAGCUUUUCAGGAGUGAAACUAUUUCACUGAGAAUGUAGCAAACAAUAAUGAUAAAAAAAGAUCAAAUCCAGUGCAAGUUAAACUAGCGAUGGGAAGAUCGGAUCAUUUUAAUUUCUCGUUCUCAUUCAAUAAAAUCAACAAUC